GAUGAAGAACGUAGCGAAAUGCGAUAAGUAAUGUGAAUUGCAGAAUUCAGUGAAUCAUCGAAUCUUUGAACGCACAUUGCGCCCCCUGGUAUUCCGGGGGGCAUGCCUGUUCGAGCGUCAUUACAACCCUCAAGCUCUGCUUGGUAUUGGGCCCCGCCAGUUCUGGCGGGCCCUAAAGUCAGUGGCGGUGCCUUCCGGCUCCGAGCGUAGUAAUUCUUCUCGCUCUGGAGACCCGGUUGUGUGCUUGCCAACAACCCCCAAUUUUUUAAGGUUGACCUCGGAUCAGGUAGGGAUACCCGCUGAACUUAAGCAUAUCAAUACGGAGGA
This 327-nucleotide unclassified non-coding RNA is filed under the name soil metagenome. RNAcentral describes it as "partial contains 5.8S ribosomal RNA, internal transcribed spacer 2, and large subunit ribosomal RNA". The stretch from base 1 to 120 matches the Rfam family "5.8S ribosomal RNA", at positions 35 to 154 of the family's 154-position model. The record is from RNAcentral.